This 251-nucleotide ribosomal RNA is filed under the name uncultured prokaryote. Its description in RNAcentral is "partial 16S rRNA". It matches the Rfam family "Bacterial small subunit ribosomal RNA", at positions 525 to 775 of the family's 1533-position model. The record is from RNAcentral.
ACGCAGGGGGCGAGCGUUGUUCGGAAUUACUGGGCGUAAAGAAAAGAAAGGCGGGGAUGUAAGUCUGGCGUGAAAGUCUACAGAUUAAAUGUGGGAUUGCGGUGGGAACGAGAUGAUUAGAGUUAAGUAGAAAGAGCCAGAAUUCCUGGUGUAAGGGUGGAAUGUGCAGAGAUCAGAAAGAAUACCGAGGGUGAGGGGAAGGUCAUAACCCAUUACGGACGCUGUGGUGCGAGAGUGUUGGGAUCGAACAA